UAUUUACAUAACAUGAUGAUACCAUAGUUCAUCUGAUAACCAUGGUGACAAAUUGUGUUUGUCUUUCGCUCCUAUCUGAUAUAAUAU
Molecule: small nucleolar RNA, 87 nt
Organism: Leptidea sinapis
Lineage: Eukaryota; Metazoa; Arthropoda; Insecta; Lepidoptera; Pieridae
Product: small nucleolar RNA snR60/Z15/Z230/Z193/J17
Exons: 1
Source: RefSeq, a predicted model, not a curated record